This 468-nucleotide ribosomal RNA is filed under the name uncultured bacterium. RNAcentral describes it as "partial 16S ribosomal RNA". It matches the Rfam family "Bacterial small subunit ribosomal RNA", at positions 28 to 507 of the family's 1533-position model. The record is from RNAcentral.
GACGAACGCUGGCGGCGUGCUUAACACAUGCAAGUCGAACGGAAAGGUCCUGCUUUUGCGGGGUGCUCGAGUGGCGAACGGGUGAGUAUAACGUGUGUAACCUCCCCUUGUCUUUGGGAUAACUCCAGGAAACUGGGGCUCAUACCGGAUAGGAGCUCCUGCUGCAUGGUGGGGGUUGGUAAGUUUCGGCGGUUGUGGAUGGACUCGCGGCUUAUCCGCUUGAUGGUCGGGUAGUGGCUUACCAAGGCUGUGACGGGUAGCCGGCCUGGGAGGGUGACCGGGCACAAUGGGACUGAGAGACGGCGCAGACGGCUACGGGAGGCAGCAGGGGAGAAUAUGACAGAAUGGGCGGGAGUGUGAGACAGCAACGUCGCGUGCGGGAUGACGGCCUUCGGGUUGUAAACCGAUUUCGCCUGAGACGAAGCGGGAGUGACGGUAAUGGGUAAAGAAGCACCGGCUAACUACGUG